UGGAUGCAGGAAGAACUAGGGAGAGGU
Molecule: small RNA, 27 nt
Filed under: Bombyx mori (domestic silkworm)
Lineage: Eukaryota; Metazoa; Arthropoda; Insecta; Lepidoptera; Bombycidae
Description: ovarian small RNA-34674
Source: RNAcentral